Long non-coding RNA from Ursus maritimus (polar bear), 1888 nucleotides. The record is from Ensembl. Lineage: Eukaryota; Metazoa; Chordata; Mammalia; Carnivora; Ursidae.
CUUUUUGAGUCUCAGUAUUUUAUUGAAAUAGCACAUUUACCAAUUAACCAAGAAUACACUAACUGUCGGGGGCGCUUGGGUGGCUCAGUCUUUAAGCAUCUGCCUUUGGCUCAGGUCAUGAUCCCAGGAUCCUGGGAUCAAGCCCCACAUCGGGCUCCCUGCUCUGCUGGGAGCCUGCUUCUUCCUCUCCCACUCCUGCUGCUUGUGUUCCGUCUCUCAAUGGCUGUCUCUCUCUCUGUCAAAUAAAUAAAUAAAAUCUUUAAAAAAAAAAAAAAAGAAUACAUUAACUGUCUUUCCCUGGCAACUCUCCACCCCCAGAAUAUGCAGCACAAUACCAGAGUGACUUCAAAUAUCCUUGAUCAUGAGAACCCACAGAAAUAUGACCAUGUUAUGUGAUUCAACACUCUGAUGGCCUUGAGUUGUUCUUAGGACAGAGCCCAAAUCCUUAAAAGGAUGGUUUGACUCUUGGCUGUCCCUGUAGCCUCAUCUCGUACCACAUGUCUUCCCCCUCAUUCACGACACUCCACUGGUCUUUGGCAUUGAAUAGGCUGCUCCCACUUUUAGAAAUGCUCCUCUCCUCCCUCCCUUUCCUUCAGAAGAACACUCAGCCCUCCCUGACCUGCCUGGCCAGUUCCCCUGCCAUGCCUGAUCAUGGUAUCACAUAACUCCUGCUGGAUCACCUGGCAUAAAUGGAAAACCACGCAUUUAAUUUUGUCUUCCUCACUAGAUGAGAAGUUCCAUGAGGGCAGAGACCACAUCUGCUUUGGCUCCCCACUGUGGCCAGAGCUCCAGCACAAUGCCAGGCAUGUAGCUGACUCCAAUAAAGAAAUGUUGAAGAGAAGAAGAAAGAAGCUGCACCAGACCCCACAGCUUUCCAAGGUCACAUGAAACCCUGAGUUGGCUGCUCUAUGCUAGGUAAGCAUUGCACACAGAAGCCCACCUUCUUCCACAUUGCUUAGGUCUCUCCUACCUCCCCUCUGCAUAUCAGAAAAGCAUAAUUUUAGAUUAAGUUUUGUUGAUAGAUAGUCAUCAUUUAAAAGCUAGUACUUUUUGAUCAGUUCAUUGAGCUAGGCAUUAUUUGACUUUUUUUUUUUUAAAGAUUUUAUUUAUUUAUUUGACAGAGAUAGAAACAGCCAGCGAGAGAGGGAACACAAGCAGGGGGAGUGGGAGAAGAAGAAGCAGUCUCUCAGCAGAGGAGCCUGAUGUGGGGCUCGAUCCUAUAACACCGGGAUCACGCCCUGAGCCGAAGGCAGACGCUUAACCGCUGUGCCACCCAGGUGCUCCGACAUUUAAUUUUCUAAAGAACCUAUUCAAGAAUCAACACUGAUUAUUUCUGUUUUCAGAUAAUGAGACCGAAGCUCAGAAAAGUUAAGUAACUUGCUGAAAAUCACACAGCUAGGACUCGUUAGAGCCGAGGUGCAGCUCUCCCAAGCGGUGCUAGAGUUAGUGCUUGUAACCGUUGGGUCACAUCUCAAAUCCAAGUUGUCCUGUACUUUUCCCCAUUGGCACAGGGUAUCCUGAAUGUGCCCAGUGCUUGGCUCUGCUUCUAAAGCUAAGGGUACAGUGCUGUUCUUUAACUGGAUCUACAGUUGCUGUUUCAUCAAGUUGGGAAAAGCCCUGGACUAAUUGUUAGUAAUCAUAUAAAGUGUUCCAUUUUAAACAGACCUCUUUUUUUUUCAGGUGGGUAAAACUUAAAAAUAAUGAUACUCUGUUUUAAAUUGCCAGUAGGCAACAUGUAAUUAUUGUAUAACUUCUAAACUUGGUGUUCAAUAUUAUUUAAAUUGUGUCCUCAUCAGUCAGAUAAUUUUUAGUGAAAAAGAGAGUGAGGCUUUUUUUUUUUUUACACAGAUGGUCUAUGGGAUUACUGAUUAGAAAACAAACAAACGAA